Molecule: long non-coding RNA, 885 nt
Filed under: Anas platyrhynchos platyrhynchos (common mallard)
Lineage: Eukaryota; Metazoa; Chordata; Aves; Anseriformes; Anatidae
Description: lncRNA (ENSAPLG00000023170.1)
Source: RNAcentral
AAACAGCUGAAGUCAGUGACUUCAAUAGCACCUCUGUGGUGCAAGUUUGGAGCAAUGGUUAAUUACAGAUCAUGGAUAUGGAGGCUGUUGCAGGUUUUCCUUGCCUAUAUUUCUGUUCAAAUGGGGCUUACACAUUCAGCCAGGAGAGGAGAUAACAUGUUUUCUUGUUGGUGGAGGUAGGUCCCAUGAGACAUGGAGUUUUGCUAUUGAAGAAUAGGACUAGAAAUGAGCCUGAACAAAUCAGCAGUACCAGUGGAUGCAAAAAGAGAUGUUUUCUAUUCCCCCACAGCAGAACUGCUAAGCAUGCAAAGAGACCCUGCUGCCUGAAGUGAUCUCAGCACAGCUUGAACAAGCUCAAUCUCAGACUCUAAAAAGCUCCUUUGCUGGUUUUGGUAAAAGGCUAGGGCUGAAUUCUCAAAGCUGCUGUUUUACUCUGCUUCAUAUGGAAGAAAUGAAUAAAAGAAAGAUUGUGAAAAAGCCACGUGUGAAUGGGAAAACAGUUUGGAUUGGCAGCCCAGGUGCUGUGUGGCCCAAGACCACUCUCCGUGGUGCCAUCUGCAGGAGGAGGAAAAUUUCCUUGUUGGAACAUCUUGAGAAAAGGACAACUGGUAUGAAAAUCUCUUUUGGAAAAUCUCCCCGCCUGUGAUAUGAACAGUUUCAGAGGUAACGCAGCUGGGGAUAAUUAUACAUUUCUGUCACACACUCCUGAAUGCUCCCUGCUCCGUGGGAGGGUAGGAGGCACAAACGCAGGAGCUUGACCACUCUAGUAGAAUAUUAAAACCCAGGGGAAAACAGACGACUCCUCGUUUAGAGACCACAUUAUGGACUCUGACUGUUUUGUCCUUUGUGUUUCUUUAAAUAAAUACCAGAGAUCUACUCCUGACA